Long non-coding RNA from Hypanus sabinus (Atlantic stingray), 1307 nucleotides. RefSeq lists it as uncharacterized. The record is from RefSeq and is a predicted model, not a curated record. NCBI's taxonomy places the organism in Eukaryota, Metazoa, Chordata, Chondrichthyes, Myliobatiformes, Dasyatidae. The transcript has 3 exons.
ACGAGAUAUAAAAAAGAUAUGCAGAUGCUGGAAUUCUGAAAUAAAAGCAGAACCUGCUGGAAAUACUCAGUGGGUCAAGCAACAUCUGUGGAAAACAGUUAACAUUUCAGUUUGAGGCUGAAGUGUCUUCAAUCUAAAACAUUACCUCCCAGAGGCUGCCUGAUCUGACAAAUGUUUCCACAACCUGCUGUUCUCACUUCAAGCCUGCAAGUUAAGUUUGAAAAAAGUCUUUGACAAACUACUACUAACUUAUCUGUUGAACUAGAGGAGACAACCCACUUGAAAACUGUUACACUACCAUCAAGUACGCUUGUCAUGCUAUUCCACACCUGCACUUUGGCACGUACAAUUACCUGGCUGCACUUCUACCUCCAGGGUACAACCAGAGACUAAGGACCACAGCACCAGAGGUGAGAACCACGAAGAUAUAGUCAAGGGAGGCGAAGGUACGAUUAGAGGUCUGCUGUGAAUCAGUGAACUGGACAAUACUCAGGGAUUCAACUUUGAAUCUAAAUGAUUAUGCCACAGUCGUCACCAACUUCAUCGGGGCCAGUGUGGAAGAGUAGGUGUCUUUGAGAACACAUUACAUAUACUAAAACCAGAAGCUGUGGAUGAAUCAAGUGAUUUGCAGUCUACUGGGGGCUAGACCAGUGAUCCAUAACAACACAAGAAGUCCAGGUUCGGAGUUCACGAUAAAGAACAUGCAGUUGAUACAAUCAUUGUCCAUUUUGUGGAUGAUGAGGAAGAUGAUUUUUCGACCACAUAAAGCUAUUGAUGAUCUGAUCUUGGACAGAGAAAUUGCAUAUCGCUUUUAAUCCAGUGCGGGGUCCAGAACCAAGGAUACAGUCAACGUAAGUACAGGUGAUACUUAUGCACAGUGAAUGUCAUCACUGAUGAUACUAGGCUGACGACGAUGGUGAGGGGAAGAUGUCAACUGGAGGAAGGAUGGAGGAAAGACAAGUGAAGGAUGAUUCUCUUGGUAGAAUAUAGAAUCAUAGACUGUUUGGUGCAUCUUGUCUGUGCCAAAUCAUAAUCUGCCUAGUCCCAUUGAACUGCAAUCAGACCAUAGCUCUCCAGACCCUUCUCUUUCAUGCAUUCAUCCAAAUUUCUCUUAAAUAUAGCAAUAUAUGUAACAAUAGAGAAAACAAUCUUCUUACAAAUAUGAAAAAAAAUAUAUAUAAUGCACAAAGGACAUAGUCUGUGUGUUGUAUACUCCAAGGUCUAGCCUUGUUUGUAUUUCGCAGUGUACACUUUUACCGAAGAAUAGUAUCCCUUCAAGGCUUCUUUAAAAAAAAUCACCUUAAACA